GCCUCUAUUUGUUUAUAUAGGGAUGACAAGCAAAUGCUAUUUUUUAGGUCCUCACUUUUGAUUUGACCACCUCCUUUUUGGAUUUGAUUGCAACUAGUGAUGUCUAGUGGGAUAGCGGCAGUAGGAAGAUACAUAAUUAGAAGUCACACUAUUAAGCUUUUCUUAAAUAUAACAUUUUUUUAAUUCUAUUUUAGCUUAAUUUAAUUAGACACAAAAUUUAGGGAAAAAAUGAAGGCUUAAUGAUACAUUAGGUAGAUGUGGUAAAAGAUGAAAGUAUGAUUUUGUUGACUAGUUUAUUUUUACAUUAACUGGAUUCUGAUAUACGUAGAAUUUUUCGUAAACGAUGUUAUCAUUUGAAGAAAUGAAUAAAUUACUAUAAUGAAAAGCAUUGCCAUUUCUUUUUUAUAUUUAUACCCAGUAUUGUCGUUUUGCUUACUUUUAAUAUAUACAUAUUAAGUAAAAAAGUUCAACGAAGCUGUGUUUCGUGAUACUAUUUGCAAAGCGUGAAGUGAGGCAGAAAUGGAGUGGUCUCUAUCGAUUUAUAGAAGAAAAUGAAGAGGUGGGGACCUGUUUUAGGAAAAAAGUUCAAUGAACUUUCUUUUUCUCUAGCGACUACGGUUUUUUGGAUGGAUUGUUGCUUCUUCCUUAAAAUCCAGAUUACAUGAGUGCGAGUCAAAUGCCAGAAAAAUGCCAAGCCACUCGAAGAUAAACAAGUGUCUUCAGAGUUCAUUGCAGAGGCUACACCAAGGGGUUUUCUCGAGCCACUCUUCCUCUUGUUGACACGUGGAUCAUGGAAAAAGUGCGGUUAGUUACCCUAUUUUGUCAUAUUAAUAAAUAAUUGGAUUUUUUUUUCUUUGUCCUUAUAGUCAGGGCCGGAGUUAGUGCCCGUUUAAGCCCUUUUUAGCUUAUUGUAGUGUUUGGCUAAUGUCAAAUUUAAGCCAUAAAGUGCUUAAAGUUGCCAAAAAAUGAAAAGUUAGGAUUCCUAACUUUUUUUUUGGAAGGGCUUAAAGCCAUUUUAGUUGACCAUGGAAAUUACUUUUAUAUCCCUUAUAUUU
Lycium barbarum (goji berry) is the source of this 1055-nucleotide long non-coding RNA. RefSeq lists it as uncharacterized. NCBI's taxonomy places the organism in Eukaryota, Viridiplantae, Streptophyta, Magnoliopsida, Solanales, Solanaceae. The record is from RefSeq and is a predicted model, not a curated record. The transcript is spliced from 3 exons.